UACGGAAGGUCCGGGCGUUAUCCGGAUUUAUUGGGUUUAAAGGGAGCGUAGGCCGGGUUUUAAGCGUGCCGUGAAAUGUCGGGGCUCAACCUUGACACUGCGGCGCGAACUGGGGGGCUUGAGUGCGCCGGAGGUAGGCGGAAUUCGUGGUGUAGCGGUGAAAUGCAUAGAUAUCACGAAGAACCCCGAUUGCGAAGGCAGCAUACGGCAGCGCUACUGACGCUGAAGCUCGAAGGCGCGGGUAUCGAACAGG
This 253-nucleotide ribosomal RNA is filed under the name uncultured bacterium. RNAcentral describes it as "partial 16S ribosomal RNA". It matches the Rfam family "Bacterial small subunit ribosomal RNA", at positions 524 to 776 of the family's 1533-position model. The record is from RNAcentral.